Molecule: long non-coding RNA, 1336 nt
Organism: Daphnia pulex (common water flea)
Lineage: Eukaryota; Metazoa; Arthropoda; Branchiopoda; Diplostraca; Daphniidae
Exons: 4
Source: RefSeq, a predicted model, not a curated record
CUGUGUCCAUGAUUGACCGGUAUCUUCUCAGAUGUGCAAUAAUUAAAAAGGGAACGGCUUCCCAAGAUCCCUUCAGUAAUGCUUGACCGGUCUCUUCCUAGCUUCUCACAAUUGAAAAAGGGAACAGUUUAUCAAGAUCCCCUCUCAAGAUCCAUUCUCCACAUGCACACAUCCAGCAGAGCUUAUUGAAUUUCCCUCCCAAAAAAAGAGGGCUAAACAACAUGUUUCAAAUCACAAUAGAGAGAAAUCAUUUGAAAUCGAGUUGCGUUUCAUGGCCAAUAGAGGUUCCACAAGUGCCACAAUGAAAGUAAACGCAGCAGCAACGAAUGUUGUCUUGAAAGUGACCGAUCAAUGGAAGACUUAAAAGUGACAAGUAAGUAGCUUAACCAAUGUUUUGUAUUGCAAACAAUUGUUAACAACACAUAUAUACUUUAGUUCAGCUUGAUUUUCGGUCUCGCAUUGUUGAAAACUCGGCCAACCAAUACGGGCGCAGCCCUAUCUAGGUCCACAGAUUCCAGUUUUGACCAAGCUUUCUUGGUGGUCCCUACAGAAAAGCAAAAAUCUCACUAUUAGCAAGGCUCAUUAGUCAUUUUGUGUUUCACAAGAAACUGGUUGAACCACUUUGACUUCAUCAGCUUUGACAAGUAUUCAGCUAUAGUAUACUGGAGUGUAUACUCCAGUGACUUGUUUUGCUUUCGCAAGACUUUGAGGGCUUUCCUCUUGGCUGCCAGCUCGUCAUCAACUUCUUGCUGUAUAUCUAUUGGUUACCUUUUCUUUGUCGGAGGACGACGAAUUGUCAUCAUUUGAGUCCCGAGACGACUCAUCAUCGUCAGCGACAGGCUCCUCAGUCACAGUCACAUCAGCAACAACAUCAGCAACCGGUGCAGGUUAUACUAAGAGUUACCUGUGCAACGGUAAUGGUGCACGCGUGCUUUACCUAUCAGCGUGGUAGAAAAAUCAUUUUGGGCUUAAAACAAAAAAGGAUCAAAGAGAAAUUUUUUUUAAAGCGGCAAAAAGGGUGGAGGAUGGAUAAUAGCCAAAGAUGCGAACCUGACAUUGUGGCGGGCGCCAUUCAUUCAUCCGCCGCUAGUGCAGCGGUAGUGUUCCACUUACUCUCCAGGUGUUUUGCAUUUACUUUACUUUACUUACACCAUUACCCAGUAGAGGUGUGCCGUAUAGUACGUAAUUUGGUGUAGUAAAUAAAGUAAAUUCGUAUAGUGAGUAUAGUAAAUAGGUAUAGUGUAUUGCGUGUGGUAACUCUGGUGGCAACAACUGGAAUUUAGCCUUUAUAUUUCAAUAUUGAGACAUCCAAAAAUAAUAAACUAAAUCAAAAUUA